GUCCUAAGAUGAGCUCAACGAGAACAAAAAUCUCGUAUGGAACAGAAGGGUAAAAGCUCAUUUGAUUUUAAUUUCCAGUAAGAAUACGAACCAUGAAAUCAUGGCCUAACGAUUCUUUAGACCUUCGGAAUUUGAAGCUAGAGGUGUUAGAAAAGUUACCACAGGGAUAACUAGCUUGUGGCAGCCAAGCGUUCAUAGCAACAUUGCUUUUUGAUCCUUUGAUGUCGACUCUUCCUAUCAUUGUGAAGUAGAAUUCACCAAGUGUUAGAUUGUUCACCCACCAAUAGGGAAUGUGAGCUAGUUUUAGACCGUCGUGAGACAGGUUAGUUUUACCCUACUAAUGACAGUGUCGCAAUAGUAAUUCAACUUAGUACGAGAGGAACCGUUAAUUCGUAUAAUUGGUCAUCGCGCUUGGCUGAAAAGCCAGUGGCGCGAAGUUGCCAUGCGCUGGAUUAUGACUAAACUCCUCUAAGUCAGAAUCCGAGCUAAAAGCGACGCAUGCGCCGGCCGCCCACUUGCCGACCGGUAGUAGGGGCUAUCCGGCCCCCAAAGGCACGUGUCGUUGGUAAAGCCCGCGCAGCAGAUGAGUCGCGUGGGCCGCCUUGAAGUAUAAUUCCUAUCUCAAGCGACGGGUAGAAUCCUUUGCAGAAGACUUAAAUACACGACGAGGUAUUAUAAGUGGCAGAGUGGCCUUACUGCCACGAUCCACUGAGAU
RNAcentral lists this ribosomal RNA (715 nucleotides) under Camellia sinensis. RNAcentral's name for it is "eukaryotic LSU rRNA". It matches the Rfam family "Eukaryotic large subunit ribosomal RNA", at positions 2660 to 3377 of the family's 3401-position model. Lineage: Eukaryota; Viridiplantae; Streptophyta; Magnoliopsida; Ericales; Theaceae. The record is from RNAcentral.